GUUCCUAAGGUGUAAGUGCCGCUCGUGGCUUGUCACCUAUAGAUGAUCCUGCUCUGCAUUAGCUAAUUUGUAAGGUUACUGCUUACCAAGGCAACCGAUGCAUUAGCCGGACCUGAGAGGGUGAUCGGCCACACUGGAACUGAGACACGGUCCAGACUCCUACGGGAGGCAGCAGUAGGGAAUCUUCCGCAAUGGGGCGUAAGCCUGACGGAGCACGCCGCGUGAUGAUGAAGGUUCUUCGGAUCGUAAACUCUGUUAUUAGGGAAGACAUAUGUGUAAGUAACUGUGCACAUCUUGACGGUACCUAAUCAGAAAGCCACGGCUAACUACGUGCCAGCAGCCGCGGUAAUACGUAGGUGGCAAGCGUUAUCCGGAAUUAUUGGGCGUAAAGCGCGCGUAGGCGGUUUUUUAAGUCUGAUGUGAAAGCCCACGGCUCAACCGUGGAGGGUCAUUGGAAACUGGAAAACUUGAGUGCAGAAGAGGAAAGUGGAAUUCCAUGUGUAGCGGUGAAAUGCGCAGAGAUAUGGAGGAACACCAGUGGCGAAGGCGACUUUCUGGUCUGUAACUGACGCUGAUGUGCGAAAGCGUGGGGAUCAAACAGGAUUAGAUACCCUGGUAGUCCACGCCGUAAACGAUGAGUGCUCAAGUGUUAGGGGGUUUCCGCCCGCUUAGUGCUGCAGCUAACGCAUUAAGCACUCCGCCUGGGG
This 707-nucleotide ribosomal RNA is filed under the name uncultured Staphylococcus sp. Its description in RNAcentral is "bacterial SSU rRNA". It matches the Rfam family "Bacterial small subunit ribosomal RNA", at positions 198 to 878 of the family's 1533-position model. The record is from RNAcentral. Lineage: Bacteria; Bacillati; Bacillota; Bacilli; Caryophanales; Staphylococcaceae.